AGGAAAGAAAGGUUUUCAGGGAAGCGGUAGACAAGUUCCUUCAGCUCAACACGAAGUCACUGGCCCGGCCUGGCACCCAGAGGUAAAGAAUAGCAGAAAAAGAGAGAGGAACUCUCGCAAACCCAUCCUGCUCCUGCUCACUGGGUCAUUAGAAACAAAACAGAUCUGGUGAAGGGUCUGCUGUAAAGCAGCUUGUCUUGUGUCUGCAGAUUUUCACGGACUGCUCCCUCCUGCCAGCAGAGGACCUGUAACACUGCCCCGAUUGAAGUCAGGGAACAAUUCACAGAUCGGAGGAACAUUUCUGAAUGACGCUCAGAUGACAGAGAAACGAAGUUUGCAUAAUUUCAGCAGUAAUGCAAGAAAAGAUGAGUGUGCGUGUUGUAAGGGAGGGAGGGAUGCAGAAAGGGUUGAAAUCUGUAAUAAACUGCCUCCAAGAAAACAG
Homo sapiens (human) is the source of this 442-nucleotide long non-coding RNA. The record is from Ensembl. NCBI's taxonomy places the organism in Eukaryota, Metazoa, Chordata, Mammalia, Primates, Hominidae.